RNAcentral lists this microRNA (24 nucleotides) under Brachypodium distachyon (stiff brome). Its description in RNAcentral is "bdi-miR7786-5p". Lineage: Eukaryota; Viridiplantae; Streptophyta; Magnoliopsida; Poales; Poaceae. The record is from miRBase by way of RNAcentral.
GUCUAUGUCUAUGUCUGUGCACGC